GAUGAACGCUGGCGGCGUGCCUAAUACAUGCAAGUCGAGCGAACAGACGAGGAGCUUGCUCCUCUGACGUUAGCGGCGGACGGGUGAGUAACACGUGGAUAACCUACAUAUAAGACUGGGAUAACUUCGGGAAACCGGAGCUAAUACCGGAUAAUAUAUUGAACCGCAUGGUUCAAUAGUGAAAGACGGUUUUGCUGUCACUUAUAGAUGGAUCCGCGCCGCAUUAGCUAGUUGGUAAGGUAACGGCUUACCAAGGCGACGAUGAGUAGGCGACCUGAGAGGGUGAGCGGCCACUCGGACACUGAGACGCGGUCCAGACUCCUACGGGAGGCAGCAGUAGGGAAUCUUCCGCAAUGGGCGAACGCCUGACAGAGCCACGCCGCGUGAGUGAUGAAGGUCUUCGGAUCGUAAAACUCUGUUAUUAGGGAAAAACAAAUGUGUAAGUAACUAUGCACGUCUUGACGGUACCUAAUCAGAGAGCCACGGCUCACUACG
RNAcentral lists this ribosomal RNA (495 nucleotides) under uncultured bacterium. RNAcentral's name for it is "partial 16S ribosomal RNA". It matches the Rfam family "Bacterial small subunit ribosomal RNA", at positions 28 to 505 of the family's 1533-position model. The record is from RNAcentral.